UUAUUAUGAGAGUUUGAUCCUGGCUCAGGACGAACGCUGGCGGCGUGCCUAAUACAUGCAAGUCGAACGCUUCUUUCCUCCCGAGUGCUUGCACUCAAUUGGAAAGAGGAGUGGCGGACGGGUGAGUAACACGUGGGUAACCUACCCAUCAGAGGGGGAUAACACUUGGAAACAGGUGCUAAUACCGCAUAACAGUUUAUGCCGCAUGGCAUAAGAGUGAAAGGCGCUUUCGGGUGUCGCUGAUGGAUGGACCCGCGGUGCAUUAGCUAGUGUGUGGGG
This 279-nucleotide ribosomal RNA is filed under the name Enterococcus faecalis. RNAcentral's name for it is "partial 16S ribosomal RNA". It matches the Rfam family "Bacterial small subunit ribosomal RNA", at positions 1 to 257 of the family's 1533-position model. Lineage: Bacteria; Bacillati; Bacillota; Bacilli; Lactobacillales; Enterococcaceae. The record is from RNAcentral.